Long non-coding RNA from Rhincodon typus (whale shark), 499 nucleotides. RefSeq lists it as uncharacterized. The transcript has 4 exons. Lineage: Eukaryota; Metazoa; Chordata; Chondrichthyes; Orectolobiformes; Rhincodontidae. The record is from RefSeq and is a predicted model, not a curated record.
GGCGGUGUCUGCGGCUCUCCGAGCCACGGUGCUCCAGAAGAGGAAGGUCGAGGAUUCCCUGGGAACGUUGAGGAGGCAGCUGUCCCACCUCAACCAGGCCCUACUCGAUGCAACCAGUCCCUGCCUGACCUCGGGGACUGUGACAGUAGCUGAUGUUGUACUCUGGGGAGACCUGUACCCCCUCCUACAGGAUGUCUCCUGUCUUCCAGGGGAGUUUGAGGCUCUGCGGGGUUGGCUGCAGCAGCUGAGUCAGACUCGCGCCUGUCGCAGAGCAGCAGCUGCAGUGCUGGAUGGGGGUGGCCUGGAGGUCUUCAGAAGUCACCUGCAGAAGCUGCCCGCCCCAGCCCCGCUGUCCGAGAGACCACCCUCCAACGACUGUGAGGAAGGCGAUGCCCCUGACUGCCAACUGACUGAGGAGGAGGUCCAGGCGGCUGACGAAGCGUGGCACAGUGGGCUGUCUGCGCUGCCGAAACCUGGGAAGGUGCAGCACCCUGUGUGA